CUAAGACAUGCUAGUCGAGCGUCUUCAAGCUAUGUUGAGGACGCGGCGUGCGGCUCAGUAACACGUGGCCAACCUACCCUUAGGACGGAGACAACCCCGGGAAACUGGGGCUAAUCCCCGAUAGGUGAGGACGCCUGGAAUGGUCUCUCACCCAAAGGACGUUGAAGCCAUGCUUUUCAGCGUUGCCUAAGGAUGGAGCCGCGGCCGAUCAGGUUGUUGGUGGGGUAAUGGCUCACCAAGCCUAUAACCGGUACGGGCCAUGAGAGUGGGAGCCCGGAGAUGGGCACUGAGACAAGGGCCCAGGCCCUACGGGGCGCAGCAGUUGCGAAACCUCCACAAUGCACGAAAGUGCGAUGGGGCUAACCCGAGUGCCGUCCGCUGAGGAGGGCUUUUCUCCGCUGUAAGGAGGCGGAGGAAUAAGGAGAGGGCAAGACUGGUGUCAGCCGCCGCGGUAAUACCAGCUCUCCGAGUGGUAGGGACGAUUAUUGGGCCUAAAGCGUUCGUAGCCGGCUUGGCAAGUCUCUCGUUAAAUCCAGUGACCUAAUCGCUGGGCUGCGGGAGAUACUGUCAGGCUUGGGAGCGGAAGAGGUCGACGGUAUUCUCGGGGUAGGGGUGAAAUCCUGUAUCCCGGG
RNAcentral lists this ribosomal RNA (632 nucleotides) under uncultured archaeon. Its description in RNAcentral is "bacterial SSU rRNA". It matches the Rfam family "Archaeal small subunit ribosomal RNA", at positions 44 to 652 of the family's 1478-position model. The record is from RNAcentral.